AGGAGAUGUACCAUAAUAUUCCUUCCAGCUCAGAUCUGCUGAGUUUCUAAAUAGCUGGGAAAUGUUAUAGACGAGAACAAGCUUCACUUCUGAAAGACAAAUGGAGGUAGAUGGAUGUUACAGAAGGAGCCUGCAUUCAGUGGGGGCUAACGAAGGAAGAAGACAUUGGGUGGCUCUCCAGGAAUGGACCUCAAGAGAGAGCUUGCUCAGAAAGCCGCUGCUUCGCGCUACUGGGAACGUUCUUUGUGCCGCAGAUGGCGUUUCGGGAAAGACACUCGUGUGCUCUCCUCUCCUUGUUCUGAGGCGUAAGCAGAGCUGGACAUCUCACUGCCGUUGAGUGGCGGUCUGUGGUUCCUAGAGCACAGUGUAGCUUAGGCUUUUUGUUACCAGAAACAUUGCUGUUCAGAAAUGAGAUGCCUUAUAAUUCUGAUAACCCUCAACAAUUUGGAUAUCCUUUUAUAAAAAAUAAAAUCAACACCGAUGACGCUAUCUUAAAAUUGGGCUAUCUUUGGAGCCGUGCGUAUAUGGUAACAUGGAGUUUGCUUUGUGCUGAAAACAACUUUCCAAAAUCCAGGUCUCCCCCUCAGCAGUCAUGCAACAAACAGCCAGUAGAUGGCACCAUGAGCAUCUUAUAUCAGAUCCAAGGCCGAGGACAUUUAUCUUCUCAUAGCUCUUCUCAAAAUAUUAAGCAAA
Molecule: long non-coding RNA, 693 nt
Organism: Suricata suricatta (meerkat)
Lineage: Eukaryota; Metazoa; Chordata; Mammalia; Carnivora; Herpestidae
Exons: 3
Source: RefSeq, a predicted model, not a curated record